AGAUUCAUAUUGUUUUAAAUGUUUGCUCUGCUUACCGCGCGCGAACUACAUCGCUGCAUUCAAAAACUCGCCGUCCAACCUGGUAAAGCAUGUCGAGAUUUGUGCAGCCAUUUGAAGAUUUGUUAACCAGCAAGUAUGUGGAAGUCCAGGCGAAUCCCCAGGAGCACAUGGCCUGCCAGACCCAGUUUAAUCCUAUAAGUUCUAAAAGGAGCAUGUUUGUUUGAGAUUUUCAAGAAAUUGUCCCUAAAGAAAGUCCAAGCCAUUUCAACAUCUGGAAUGAGACUGAUCCUGCCCCAAUCACAAUAGUGCAGGUCGUGUAAAAACGAAUGUUCUGAAAAAUGUUUAAAAUGACAUUUUUGGAGAAAAUGGGGGUUGGUUUUAGAGAUCUUAGUGUUGCGUAUAGCUGCAGUGGCACAGUGGUCACUCGGAUCAUUAACAAAAAUACCAGUUGCAAUAUAUUUGUGCGGAACAUUUGUCAGGAAAAGAUUAAUAAGGAGGAGUGCAGUGCUGUAGUUUUAGUAAAGUAAGUGGAGAUCAUGGUAAAAGUCUAACUUUUCGCGUUUUUUGAAAUAAACAGUCGAUGAAAAUAGA
This is a long non-coding RNA of Anguilla anguilla (European eel), 591 nucleotides long. RefSeq lists it as uncharacterized. The transcript is spliced from 2 exons. Lineage: Eukaryota; Metazoa; Chordata; Actinopteri; Anguilliformes; Anguillidae. The record is from RefSeq and is a predicted model, not a curated record.